Molecule: ribosomal RNA, 660 nt
Filed under: Triticum aestivum (bread wheat)
Lineage: Eukaryota; Viridiplantae; Streptophyta; Magnoliopsida; Poales; Poaceae
Description: partial small subunit ribosomal RNA
Source: RNAcentral
AUGUCAGCCUUCGCCAUUACCGCGCUAGUGGCGCCGCUGGUGGGUGGUGCGGCCUGGACGCUGACCACGGUCUAUGGGCCCUCAGAGGAAGACACCAAACCUCUUUUCCUUGCUGACCUGGCUCGGAUUCGUGGGCUUAUUUUCGGACCCUGGCUUAUAAUCAGGAAUUUUAACCUAAUUUAUGAAGCCCGGGACAAGAGCAACUCCAACAUCAAUCUGCGGCUUAUGGCGCGAUUUCGAUCGGCGCUAAAUAACAGCGACCUCAAGGAGAUCAAUUUAUGCGGCAGGCGCUUCACAUGGUCAAACGAGCAAGCCUCGCCCACGCUGGUCCGCCUGGAUCGCGCCUUCUGCACGCCGGAGUGGGAUCUCCAGUUCAGUGCAGCAUGGCUCCAACCCCUCGCCACGGCCAUGUCAGAUCACUGCCCUCUCCUCUUGACAUGUGAGUCCUCCUCGCGGCCUAGUGCGCGGUUCCGUUUCGAAGCCUUCUGGCCGCACGUCUCUGGGUUCAAGGAGGUUGUGGCAGCAGUCUGGAACGCGCCAGGUGUGCAGGGAUGCGCGCUUAUCAGGUUGGACACAAAGCUCAAGCGGGCGGCUAGAGCGCUCCGUCUUUGGCACAAGCACCACAUCGGGAACACUCGCUUGCAGCUGCUGAUGGCGUAG